GUGAGGAAUAUUGGACAAUGGGCGCAAGCCUGAUCCAGUCAUGCCGCGUGCAGGAAGACGCAUCUAUGGUGUGUAAACUGCUUUUGUACGGGAAGAAACCCUCCCUCGUGAGGGAGCUUGACGGUACCGUAAGAAUAAGGAUCGGCUAACUCCGUGCCAGCAGCCGCGGUAAUACGGAGGAUCCAAGCGUUAUCCGGAAUCAUUGGGUUUAACGGGUCCGUAGGCGGUUUAAUAAGUCAGUGGUGAAAGCCCAUCGCUCAACGAUGGAACGGCCAUUGAUACUGUUAGACUUGAAUUACAAGGAAGUAACUAGAAUAUGUAGUGUAGCGGUGAAAUGCUUAGAUAUUACAUGGAAUACCAAUUGCGAAGGCAGGUUACUACUUGUGGAUUGACGCUGAUGGACGAAAGCGUGGGGAGCGAACAGGAUUAGAAACCCGGGUAGUCC
This 445-nucleotide ribosomal RNA is filed under the name uncultured bacterium. RNAcentral describes it as "partial 16S ribosomal RNA". It matches the Rfam family "Bacterial small subunit ribosomal RNA", at positions 354 to 796 of the family's 1533-position model. The record is from RNAcentral.